GCACUAAAUGAAACUAGAUACAAGCGAGCGGCGGACGGGUGAGUAACACGUGGGUAACCUGCCCAAGAGACUGGGAUAACACCUGGAAACAGAUGCUAAUACCGGAUAACAACACUAGACGCAUGUCUAGAGUUUGAAAGAUGGUUCUGCUAUCACUCUUGGAUGGACCUGCGGUGCAUUAGCUAGUUGGUAAGGUAACGGCUUACCAAGGCAAUGAUGCAUAGCCGAGUUGAGAGACUGAUCGGCCACAUUGGGACUGAGACACGGCCCAAACUCCUACGGGAGGCAGCAGUAGGGAAUCUUCCACGAUGGACGAAAGUCUGAUGGAGCAACGCCGCGUGAGUGAAGAAGGGUUUCGGCUCGUAAAGCUCUGUUGGUAGUGAAGAAAGAUAGAGGUAGUAACUGGCCUUUAUUUGACGGUAAUUACUUAGAAAGUCACGGCUAACUACGUGCCAGCAGCCGCGGUAAUACGUAGGUGGCAAGCGUUGUCCGGAUUUAUUGGGCGUAAAGCGAGUGCAGGCGGUUCAAUAAGUCUGAUGUGAAAGCCUUCGGCUCAACCGGAGAAUUGCAUCAGAAACUGUUGAACUUGAGUGCAGAAGAGGAGAGUGGAACUCCAUGUGUAGCGGUGGAAUGCGUAGAUAUAUGGAAGAACACCAGUGGCGAAGGCGGCUCUCUGGUCUGCAACUGACGCUGAGGCUCGAAAGCAUGGGUAGCGAACAGGAUUAGGUACCCUGGUAGUCCAUGCCGUAAACGAUGAGUGCUAAGUGUUGGGAGGUUUCCGCCUCUCAGUGCUGCAGCUAACGCAUUAAGCACUCCGCCUGGGGAGUACGACCGCAAGGUUGAAAACUCAAAGGAAUUGACGGGGGCCCGCACAAGCGGUGGAGCAUGUGG
This 891-nucleotide ribosomal RNA is filed under the name uncultured bacterium. RNAcentral describes it as "bacterial SSU rRNA". It matches the Rfam family "Bacterial small subunit ribosomal RNA", at positions 69 to 944 of the family's 1533-position model. The record is from RNAcentral.